This 853-nucleotide ribosomal RNA is filed under the name uncultured archaeon. Its description in RNAcentral is "bacterial SSU rRNA". It matches the Rfam family "Archaeal small subunit ribosomal RNA", at positions 20 to 872 of the family's 1478-position model. The record is from RNAcentral.
GAGGUCACUGCUAUCAGUGUUCGANUAAGCCAUGCAAGUCAAAUGUUNUUCGUGAACAUGNCGGACUGCUCAGUAACACGUGGAUAACCUGCCCUUUAGGAUUGGCAUAACACCGGGAAACUGGUGAUAAUACCGAAUAGACCAUUUAUGCUGGAAUGCUUUUUGGUUCAAAGGCUUCGGCUGCCUAAGGAUGGAUCUGCGGCCUAUCAGGUAGUAGUGGGUGUAAUGUACCUACUAGCCUACGACGGGUACGGGUUGUGAGAGCAAGAGCCCGGAGAUGGAUUCUGAGACAUGAAUCCAGGCCCUACGGGGCGCAGCAGGCGCGAAAACUUUACAAUGCGGGAAACCGCGAUAAGGGGACACUGAGUGCCAGCAUAUUAUGUUGGCUGUCCACAUGUAUAAAAAUCAUGUGUUAGCAAGGGCCGGGCAAGACCGGUGCCGGCCGCCGCGGUAACACCGGCGGCCCGAGUGGUGAUCACUUUUAUUGGGUCUAAAGGGUCCGUAGCCGGUUUGAUCAGUCUUCUGGGAAAUCUGACAGCUCAACUGUUAGGCUUUCAGGGGAUACUGUCAGACUUGGGACCGGGAGAGGUAAGAGGUACUACAGGGGUAGGAGUGAAAUCUUGUAAUCCCUGUGAGACCACCAGUGGCGAAGGCGUCUUACCAGAACGGGUCCGACGGUGAGGGACGAAAGCUGGGGGCACGAACCGGAUUAGAUACCCGGGUAGUCCCAGCCGUAAACGAUGUUCGCUAGGUGUCAGGGACGGUGCGACCGUUUCUGGUGCCGUAGGGAAGCCGUGAAGCGAACCACCUGGGAAGUACGGCCGCAAGGCUGAAACUUAAAGGAAUUGGCGGG